CGGCAGCCCCUCGCGCGGCGACACAUCACCCAACUCCCCCAGGGCCGGAAGGCAGCAAGGGUCAGUGACCUCUGUCGGGUGCGCGAGGGGUCCUUGCAU
Molecule: signal recognition particle RNA, 99 nt
Filed under: Aeromicrobium marinum DSM 15272
Lineage: Bacteria; Bacillati; Actinomycetota; Actinomycetes; Propionibacteriales; Nocardioidaceae
Description: Bacterial signal recognition particle RNA
Rfam family: Bacterial small signal recognition particle RNA
About the family: The signal recognition particle (SRP) is a universally conserved ribonucleoprotein involved in the co-translational targeting of proteins to membranes. Archaeal SRP consists of a 7S RNA and homologues of the eukaryotic SRP19 and SRP54 proteins. In most bacteria, the SRP consists of a 4.5S RNA and the Ffh protein (a homologue of the eukaryotic SRP54 protein).
Source: RNAcentral